Molecule: ribosomal RNA, 433 nt
Filed under: uncultured bacterium
Lineage: Bacteria
Description: partial 16S ribosomal RNA
Rfam family: Bacterial small subunit ribosomal RNA
Source: RNAcentral
AACGAACGCUGGCGGCAGGCCUAACACAUGCAAGUCGAGCGAGGACUUCGGUUCUAGCGGCGGACGGGUGAGUAACGCGUGGGAAUGUGCCCUUCUCUACGGAAUAGCCCUGGGAAACUGGGAGUAAUACCGUAUACGCCCUUUUGGGGAAAGAUUUAUCGGAGAAGGAUCAGCCCGCGUUGGAUUAGGUAGUUGGUGGGGUAAUGGCCUACCAAGCCGACGAUCCAUAGCUGGUUUGAGAGGAUGAUCAGCCACACUGGGACUGAGACACGGCCCAGACUCCUACGGGAGGCAGCAGUGGGGAAUCUUAGACAAUGGGGGCAAGCCUGAUCUAGCCAUGCCGCGUGAGUGAUGAAGGCCUUAGGGUUGUAAAGCUCUUUCAGCUGGGAUGAUAAUGACGGUACCAGCAGAAUAAGCCCCGGCUAACUCCGUG